AGAACGAACGCUGGCGGCGUGCCUAACACAUGCAAGUCGAACGCGGUUACCUCGCAAGGGGUAACUGAGUGGCGAACGGGUGAGUAACACGUGGGUGACCUACCUUCGAAUGGGGGAUAACGUCCCGAAAGGGACGCUAAUACCGCAUAACAUCCUGCUCUUGAAUGGGUGGAGAUCAAAGCCGGGGAUCGCAAGACCUGGCGUUUGGAGAGGGACCCGCGUCCGAUUAGCUAGUUGGUGAGGUAACGGCCCACCAAGGCGACGAUCGGUA
RNAcentral lists this ribosomal RNA (271 nucleotides) under uncultured bacterium. RNAcentral's name for it is "partial small subunit ribosomal RNA". It matches the Rfam family "Bacterial small subunit ribosomal RNA", at positions 26 to 285 of the family's 1533-position model. The record is from RNAcentral.